UACGUAGGGGGCAAGCGUUGUCCGGAAUCAUUGGGCGUAAAGAGCGUGUAGGCGGUCCGGUAAGUCGGUUGUGAAAGCCCAGGGCUCAACCCUGGGAUGCCGACCGAUACUGUCGGACUAGAGUUCGGAAGAGGCGAGUGGAAUUCCCGGUGUAGCGGUGAAAUGCGCAGAUAUCGGGAGGAACACCAGUGGCGAAGGCGACUACCUGGCCUGUUCUUGACGCUGAGGCGCGAAAGCGUGGGGAGCGAACAGG
This 253-nucleotide ribosomal RNA is filed under the name uncultured bacterium. RNAcentral describes it as "partial 16S ribosomal RNA". It matches the Rfam family "Bacterial small subunit ribosomal RNA", at positions 524 to 776 of the family's 1533-position model. The record is from RNAcentral.